RNAcentral lists this ribosomal RNA (253 nucleotides) under uncultured bacterium. RNAcentral describes it as "partial 16S ribosomal RNA". It matches the Rfam family "Bacterial small subunit ribosomal RNA", at positions 524 to 776 of the family's 1533-position model. The record is from RNAcentral.
UACGUAGGGGGCAAGCGUUGUCCGGAAUCAUUGGGCGUAAAGCGCGUGUAGGCGGCUUGGUAAGUCUGGUGUGAAACCCUGGGGCUCAACCCCAGGCCUGCACUGGAUACUGCCUGGCUAGAGUCCGGGAGAGGGUAUCGGAAUUCCUAGUGUAGCGGUGAAAUGCGCAGAUAUUAGGAAGAACACCAAUGGCGAAGGCAGAUACCUGGAACGGAACUGACGCUGAGACGCGAAAGCGUGGGGAGCGAACAGG